CCGUGCUAGAUGGGGAGCUAGCGGUGCCCUGAACCCGCAAUCCGCUAUAGCGGGGUUGAACUCCCACCCGAGGUCCGCGAUCUCCGGGCGAUCGGUCCAGGGUUGGGGCGGUGAGGGCCGGGUCCUGUGCAAGGGGGAUCCGUGAACCCCGUCAGGUCCGGAAGGAAGCAGCGGUAAGCGGUGCGCCUCCUGUGCCGCGGGGGUGCUCGGCCGGAGCCUUCGCUCCUGGGGAAGAGCCGGGAGGAGGGAUCGAUGGUGGGUGCACGG
This 267-nucleotide signal recognition particle RNA is filed under the name Candidatus Methylomirabilota bacterium. RNAcentral describes it as "signal recognition particle sRNA large type". It matches the Rfam family "Bacterial large signal recognition particle RNA". From Rfam's summary of the family: The signal recognition particle (SRP) is a universally conserved ribonucleoprotein involved in the co-translational targeting of proteins to membranes. Archaeal SRP consists of a 7S RNA and homologues of the eukaryotic SRP19 and SRP54 proteins. Lineage: Bacteria; Methylomirabilota (SeqCode). The record is from RNAcentral. RNAcentral also lists the same sequence under 2 other names.